RNAcentral lists this ribosomal RNA (690 nucleotides) under Microbacterium sp. Its description in RNAcentral is "bacterial SSU rRNA". It matches the Rfam family "Bacterial small subunit ribosomal RNA", at positions 158 to 860 of the family's 1533-position model. The record is from RNAcentral. Lineage: Bacteria; Bacillati; Actinomycetota; Actinomycetes; Micrococcales; Microbacteriaceae.
GGCGUCUAAUACCGGAUACGAGCUGCGAAGGCAUCUUCAGCAGCUGGAAAGAACUUCGGUCAGGGAUGAGCUCGCGGCCUAUCAGCUAGUUGGUGAGGUAAUGGCUCACCAAGGCGUCGACGGGUAGCCGGCCUGAGAGGGUGACCGGCCACACUGGGACUGAGACACGGCCCAGACUCCUACGGGAGGCAGCAGUGGGGAAUAUUGCACAAUGGGCGCAAGCCUGAUGCAGCAACGCCGCGUGAGGGACGACGGCCUUCGGGUUGUAAACCUCUUUUAGCAGGGAAGAAGCGAAAGUGACGGUACCUGCAGAAAAAGCACCGGCUAACUACGUGCCAGCAGCCGCGGUAAUACGUAGGGUGCAAGCGUUAUCCGGAAUUAUUGGGCGUAAAGAGCUCGUAGGCGGUUUGUCGCGUCUGCUGUGAAAACUGGGGGCUCAACCCCCAGCCUGCAGUGGGUACGGGCAGACUAGAGUGCGGUAGGGGAGAUUGGAAUUCCUGGUGUAGCGGUGGAAUGCGCAGAUAUCAGGAGGAACACCGAUGGCGAAGGCAGAUCUCUGGGCCGUAACUGACGCUGAGGAGCGAAAGGGUGGGGAGCAAACAGGCUUAGAUACCCUGGUAGUCCACCCCGUAAACGUUGGGAACUAGUUGUGGGGUCCAUUCCACGGAUUCCGUGACGCAGCUAACGCAU